This is a long non-coding RNA of Haplochromis burtoni (Burton's mouthbrooder), 361 nucleotides long. RefSeq lists it as uncharacterized. The record is from RefSeq and is a predicted model, not a curated record. Lineage: Eukaryota; Metazoa; Chordata; Actinopteri; Cichliformes; Cichlidae. The transcript has 3 exons.
ACUGCCCCAUAGGAACAUAUUGCCUAUCUGGAGAAGGUGUCCAGCCAUGUCCGGUGGGACACUAUUGUCUUGGUGGUGGCGUUGAAGGUAUACUACCCUGCCCACCUGGUACAUACAGUCCUCAGUUUGGUCUCAGUCAAGUGGAGCAGUGCCUCCUUUGUCCAGCAGGCUUCUAUUGUGAGGAUUGGGGUCUGUUUGAACCCUCUGGGCCUUGUCAGGCCGGUUACUACUGCAUAGCUGGCGUGAACUUUCAGAACCCCGAUGGCAACUUCAGCACAGGAGUAGGAGGAGCAUGCCCGAAGGGAAGUUACUGUCCUGAGGGCACCAGUCUGCCUAUGCCUUGUCCGCCAGGGACCUUCUC